This 2902-nucleotide ribosomal RNA is filed under the name Escherichia coli UMEA 3693-1. Its description in RNAcentral is "bacterial LSU rRNA". It matches the Rfam family "Bacterial large subunit ribosomal RNA". Lineage: Bacteria; Pseudomonadati; Pseudomonadota; Gammaproteobacteria; Enterobacterales; Enterobacteriaceae. The record is from RNAcentral.
UUAAGCGACUAAGCGUACACGGUGGAUGCCCUGGCAGUCAGAGGCGAUGAAGGACGUGCUAAUCUGCGAUAAGCGUCGGUGAGGUGAUAUGAACCGUUAUAACCGGCGAUUUCCGAAUGGGGAAACCCAGUGUGUUUCGACACACUAUCAUUAACUGAAUCCAUAGGUUAAUGAGGCGAACCGGGGGAACUGAAACAUCUAAGUACCCCGAGGAAAAGAAAUCAACCGAGAUUCCCCCAGUAGCGGCGAGCGAACGGGGAGGAGCCCAGAGCCUGAAUCAGUGUGUGUGUUAGUGGAAGCGUCUGGAAAGGCGCGCGAUACAGGGUGACAGCCCCGUACACAAAAAUGCACAUGCUGUGAGCUCGAUGAGUAGGGCGGGACACGUGGUAUCCUGUCUGAAUAUGGGGGGACCAUCCUCCAAGGCUAAAUACUCCUGACUGACCGAUAGUGAACCAGUACCGUGAGGGAAAGGCGAAAAGAACCCCGGCGAGGGGAGUGAAAAAGAACCUGAAACCGUGUACGUACAAGCAGUGGGAGCCUCUUAAUGGGGUGACUGCGUACCUUUUGUAUAAUGGGUCAGCGACUUAUAUUCUGUAGCAAGGUUAACCGAAUAGGGGAGCCGAAGGGAAACCGAGUCUUAACUGGGCGUUAAGUUGCAGGGUAUAGACCCGAAACCCGGUGAUCUAGCCAUGGGCAGGUUGAAGGUUGGGUAACACUAACUGGAGGACCGAACCGACUAAUGUUGAAAAAUUAGCGGAUGACUUGUGGCUGGGGGUGAAAGGCCAAUCAAACCGGGAGAUAGCUGGUUCUCCCCGAAAGCUAUUUAGGUAGCGCCUCGUGAAUUCAUCUCCGGGGGUAGAGCACUGUUUCGGCAAGGGGGUCAUCCCGACUUACCAACCCGAUGCAAACUGCGAAUACCGGAGAAUGUUAUCACGGGAGACACACGGCGGGUGCUAACGUCCGUCGUGAAGAGGGAAACAACCCAGACCGCCAGCUAAGGUCCCAAAGUCAUGGUUAAGUGGGAAACGAUGUGGGAAGGCCCAGACAGCCAGGAUGUUGGCUUAGAAGCAGCCAUCAUUUAAAGAAAGCGUAAUAGCUCACUGGUCGAGUCGGCCUGCGCGGAAGAUGUAACGGGGCUAAACCAUGCACCGAAGCUGCGGCAGCGACACUAUGUGUUGUUGGGUAGGGGAGCGUUCUGUAAGCCUGUGAAGGUGGCCUGUGAGGGUUGCUGGAGGUAUCAGAAGUGCGAAUGCUGACAUAAGUAACGAUAAAGCGGGUGAAAAGCCCGCUCGCCGGAAGACCAAGGGUUCCUGUCCAACGUUAAUCGGGGCAGGGUGAGUCGACCCCUAAGGCGAGGCCGAAAGGCGUAGUCGAUGGGAAACAGGUUAAUAUUCCUGUACUUGGUGUUACUGCGAAGGGGGGACGGAGAAGGCUAUGUUGGCCGGGCGACGGUUGUCCCGGUUUAAGCGUGUAGGCUGGUUUUCCAGGCAAAUCCGGAAAACCAAGGCUGAGGCGUGAUGACGAGGCACUACGGUGCUGAAGCGACAAAUGCCCUGCUUCCAGGAAAAGCCUCUAAGCAUCAGGUAACAUCAAAUCGUACCCCAAACCGACACAGGUGGUCAGGUAGAGAAUACCAAGGCGCUUGAGAGAACUCGGGUGAAGGAACUAGGCAAAAUGGUGCCGUAACUUCGGGAGAAGGCACGCUGAUAUGUAGGUGAAGCGACUUGCUCGUGGAGCUGAAAUCAGUCGAAGAUACCAGCUGGCUGCAACUGUUUAUUAAAAACACAGCGCUGUGCAAACACGAAAGUGGACGUAUACGGUGUGACGCCUGCCCGGUGCCGGAAGGUUAAUUGAUGGGGUUAGCGGCAACGCGAAGCUCUUGAUCGAAGCCCCGGUAAACGGCGGCCGUAACUAUAACGGUCCUAAGGUAGCGAAAUUCCUUGUCGGGUAAGUUCCGACCUGCACGAAUGGCGUAAUGAUGGCCAGGCUGUCUCCACCCGAGACUCAGUGAAAUUGAACUCGCUGUGAAGAUGCAGUGUACCCGCGGCAAGACGGAAAGACCCCGUGAACCUUUACUAUAGCUUGACACUGAACAUUGAGCCUUGAUGUGUAGGAUAGGUGGGAGGCUUUGAAGUGUGGACGCCAGUCUGCAUGGAGCCGACCUUGAAAUACCACCCUUUAAUGUUUGAUGUUCUAACGUGGGCCCGUAAUCCGGGUUGCGGACAGUGUCUGGUGGGUAGUUUGACUGGGGCGGUCUCCUCCUAAAGAGUAACGGAGGAGCACGAAGGUUGGCUAAUCCUGGUCGGACAUCAGGAGGUUAGUGCAAUGGCAUAAGCCAGCUUGACUGCGAGCGUGACGGCGCGAGCAGGUGCGAAAGCAGGUCAUAGUGAUCCGGUGGUUCUGAAUGGAAGGGCCAUCGCUCAACGGAUAAAAGGUACUCCGGGGAUAACAGGCUGAUACCGCCCAAGAGUUCAUAUCGACGGCGGUGUUUGGCACCUCGAUGUCGGCUCAUCACAUCCUGGGGCUGAAGUAGGUCCCAAGGGUAUGGCUGUUCGCCAUUUAAAGUGGUACGCGAGCUGGGUUUAGAACGUCGUGAGACAGUUCGGUCCCUAUCUGCCGUGGGCGCUGGAGAACUGAGGGGGGCUGCUCCUAGUACGAGAGGACCGGAGUGGACGCAUCACUGGUGUUCGGGUUGUCAUGCCAAUGGCACUGCCCGGUAGCUAAAUGCGGAAGAGAUAAGUGCUGAAAGCAUCUAAGCACGAAACUUGCCCCGAGAUGAGUUCUCCCUGACUCCUUGAGAGUCCUGAAGGAACGUUGAAGACGACGACGUUGAUAGGCCGGGUGUGUAAGCGCAGCGAUGCGUUGAGCUAACCGGUACUAAUGAACCGUGAGGCUUAACCUU